AUUCGGCAUGAUAACUAGGGCGAACGUCUUAAUUCCCACGACACAGCCCCUAUAAAUUGCCGAUAUAUCAACUGUGGAGAUCUUACACGGGCUGUUGACGUUUAUUCUUCUGUGCAACUUUUCGUUUAAAUCGCCACGACAUUC
This 144-nucleotide small nucleolar RNA is filed under the name Ceratocystis platani. RNAcentral also lists the same sequence under 1 other name. The record is from RNAcentral. Lineage: Eukaryota; Fungi; Ascomycota; Sordariomycetes; Microascales; Ceratocystidaceae.